GGACCCGGGAGAGACCGCCCAUGCGGCGCCGAAGGGGAGAGACGCGAGAAACUCUCAGGCAAAAAGACCGGGUCU
RNAcentral lists this non-coding RNA (75 nucleotides) under Harryflintia acetispora. RNAcentral describes it as "Glycine riboswitch". It matches the Rfam family "Glycine riboswitch aptamer", at positions 6 to 89 of the family's 94-position model. From Rfam's summary of the family: This family represents the bacterial glycine riboswitch. Lineage: Bacteria; Bacillati; Bacillota; Clostridia; Eubacteriales; Oscillospiraceae. The record is from RNAcentral.